Molecule: long non-coding RNA, 3668 nt
Filed under: Brassica napus (rape)
Lineage: Eukaryota; Viridiplantae; Streptophyta; Magnoliopsida; Brassicales; Brassicaceae
Description: long non-coding RNA (BNAP_LNC021059)
Source: RNAcentral
UGAAGUCUUCUCAACACUCCCCCUCAAGCUUGACCAUAUGGAACAAGUCAAGCUUGGGAGAGCAGCUUCAUGAUCACACCAUCAGACCCUUGCAGCACCUUCUGAACUCGCCAUCUCCAUGGAAUGCUUGUGGAACCUUCAGCUCCCUCUUCAGACUGCUCACACUGGAAGCCGCCUUGAUAGAGUAGCUCCAUCAUCUUCACACAGCCGAGAGUGCUCUGAACACUCCCUUGUUCUUCCCACAGCCGGAUGACUCCUUUUCCAUCAGUUGCUUGCCAUGGUCUUCCUUCUUUGCUCACUUAACUCCCCUCCUCAAGCUUGGAUAGAAUGAGGGUCCAAGCUUGGAAGUGAGCAGCCGUGAGUCUUCACUAACCAGUGGCACAUAACCACUUCAGUAACCGCUCUCCAUUGCUCAUGACAAUGGGCAAUGCCUUCCUCUUUCUCUUGGAUUGGUGAAGAACUAAGAACACUCCUUGUGCACCUGAAACACCACUCAACCUCCAGAGAAGAUUAGACAUAGGUGCAUUGGGUCAGUCCUUGAUUCCACAUCAAGCUUGAACACCAAUGUCUCACUAAAGCAAUGCAAGAUCAAACAAGACAUCCAAGUUUCAAAUCAUUGCAAGCUCAGCUCUCUAAGUUCUAGUAUGAUCCUACAGAUUCAUUACAAGAUACUUAGGCAAUUUUUGACAGCUCCUUUACUCAGCAUUUAGACAUGAAUCUAAUGCUUCAAUGUAAGACAGCCAUUUGACAGUAUGCACUAACCUUAAUCAGUUUUAAUUCAUGAAUGCAACAAUACAAUUCAUCACACAUUCAUUUAUAACUUAGGCUAAGCAUUACUAUCAUCACUUAACAUCAGACAAUGCAUUACUUUCAAUCUGUUUUCAGUUCAUGAGCUUCAAACUAUAUCAUUUCACAUUUAGCAAACUCAUUACUUAACAGGAGCAAGCAUUUUACUCUUUAAACACUAAACAAGCCUUUAAAGCAUCCUGGGACAGAUUCAACUAGUUAUAUUUAGCAAUCACAUUAUCCUCAGGUUUUUCAAUCUAUACACAUCACAAUACACAACUCAUCUUAUCAUCUGCUCAUCAUCAAGAAGGUUUUAAGAAUCGUUUACCAAAAGGAACCAGAUUGGUUCCUUAACCUUUCAUGAAACCGGCCAUGCUUUGUUGGACUUGAGAGUGGAUCGUCACCCACCUCCUUCACCUUCAGUUCAUGGCCUCCAUCUUGUACCAUCAGCUUCAAAGACCCCUCCUUUCUUCAUCUCCACUAGGCGCCAAGCUCUUGACACCAUCUUCUUUGGAACCGGAUGUGUUCUUCUCUUGGACAAGGCGCCUUGGUACAAGGAUAGCUAGGCCUUGUCCAUACACCUCUGCUUCCAAGGAGAAUCACCAUCAGGACAGGAAGAGAACAGGAUGAGGAACCAUGAGAACUCGCCAAGCUUCAGUCUUCUUCUUCAUAAGGAGAUGAAUCGGAUGGAGAGAGCUUCAAUGGUUUGGAUGUGAGCUGAGGAGAGAGCAGUGUGUUUGCGGAAGCUUCAGCUCAGGUUCUGAUGAACCUGGCUCUGAUACCAUAUGAGGUUUUCAGAGCUCAGGCUGUGUGUGUGAGAACAAGCCACUAAGGGCGAAAUGAGAGCUUGAACUGAAGAGAGAAAGGUCUGAUGAAGAACAGUAUGAACUUGGACAGAAACAAGAGAUUUAGAGAGAUUAAGAGAUUUAAGUAUAAGAAAGGGGUAGUUUGAGGGAUUCUUAUCCAAGAACACACUUUGUAUUAUGAAGGAGGAGGGGAAAUCCCCCUCUCUCUCUUAAGAGAGUUACAAACGCCCAUGAGGUCUUUAUAUAGGUUUUACACUCUUGCAAACUCAUAAACCUAUAUCUAAUGGAUAGAAAUAACUUAAGAGGAAUGGAUGGUGAGGAUGAGUUGGUCUUGUUGUGAUCUGAGUGAUGUGUGCUGAUUGGAUGAGCUAAGCUGGCUCACUUUAAUUCAAACAAGGCUGUGCUGUGAUUGGCUCUCCUUAGGCUCCUUUGUAUCUGUCUACAGAUCAGUCUAGGUGCAUGGUCGUGGCUGCUCUUCCUUUACAGCAACAGCCAGCCUGUCCAUGCCCCAAAGUAACCAAUCAGCUCCACACAGCAUCUUCUUGAUUCCCUUUGACUAGAUUCAAACCUUGGUGCCUCACAUCCUGAAUAGUGAUCCAAAUAGUGAAUAGUCAACCUGAAUAGUGACUAGUGAUUCACUAUUCACUUUUACACCAACUUGCCCAACCUUCUCCAAUCUUACUGUGGUAACUCUCCAAAGUUACUGUGGUAACUUUGGAGUUACUGUCUGACCCAAAUCUUCUCUAAAUGGUGUCUAAGUCCCUCCUGGACUUAACUCUAUCUUUGCACACUCAUCAGACCACUUCUGAAGCCUUAAGACUCUCCCAAAGCCUUACAUACAAUCUCUAAAGAUCUUGCCAUGUCUUUGCACAAGCACCAACUCAACUCAUCACUUUUGCUUCUCCACUUCUUCUCUUCAAGUUAACACUCCCCCUCAAGCUUGACUCUAGCUGAUCCUAAGUCAAGCUUGGAACCUUGAAGAACUUCCUCAUUAAAAACCUCACCAAGGAAAACCCUUUGGGACAAAACCUUGAUGAGGGAAAAAGAGUAAAGUCUCCAAGGCCUAGGGAUUGGCCAGUGAGUCUUUGUGCCUUACCAACAAUGUAAGGGACACAAAGACUCGGAUCAUGGCCCCUUCUUGUGAUGCAAGGUAGAUCACAUCUUCUCUUGCUCAUCACUCUUCAUCUUGUAAUAGCUGAGCCUUGGCUGCUUCUUCUCUUCGAGUUUCCACCUUGUUCUAAAGCUUCAUGGUCGGAUGCCUCAGUCUGUAGUACCAAGGCUGCUCUGCUUUGGCCGCCUUGGAGAUUGCUUCACCAUCCUCCAUCUUGCUUCACAAACCGGUCUGCUCCUCUUCUAGAAUAACCGCCAAGUGCUCUCAUCAAGAAGCCUUCUCAACACUCCCCCUCAAGCUUGACCAUGUGGAACAAGUCAAGCUUGGAAGGAGAGCUUCUUGAUUCUCUACAUUUGCUCACUGCCGUCCACCUUCUUGAACCGGCACCUUUGUGAUCAUUUGAAGUCUUCUCAACACUCCCCCUCAAGCUUGACCAUGUGGAACAAGUCAAGCUUGGGAGAGCAGCUUCAUGAUCACACCAUCAGACCCUUGCAGCACCUUCUGAACUCGCCAUCUCCAUGGAAUGCUUGUGGAACCUUCAGCUCCCUCUUCAGACUGCUCACACUGGAAGCCGCCUUGAUAGAGUAGCUCCAUCAUCUUCACACAGCCGAGAGUGCUCUGAACACUCCCUUGUUCUUCCCACAGCCGGAUGACUCCUUUUCCAUCAGUUGCUUGCCAUGGUCUUCCUUCUUUGCUCACUUAACUCCCCUCAUCAAGCUUGGAUAGAAUGAGGGUCCAAGCUUGGAAGUGAGCAGCCGUGAGUCUUCACUAACCAGUGGCACAUAACCACUUCAGUAACCGCUCUCCAUUGCUCAUGACAAUGGGCAAUGCCUUCCUCUUUCUCUUGGAUUGGUGAAGAACUAAGAACACUCCUUGUGCACCUGAAACACCACUCAACCUCCAGAGAAGAUUAGACAUAGGUGCAUUGGGUCAGUCCUUGAUUCCACAUCAAGCUUGAACACCAA